RNAcentral lists this transfer RNA (73 nucleotides) under Patescibacteria group bacterium. RNAcentral's name for it is "tRNA-Thr". It matches the Rfam family "tRNA". From Rfam's summary of the family: Transfer RNA (tRNA) molecules are approximately 80 nucleotides in length. Their secondary structure includes four short double-helical elements and three loops (D, anti-codon, and T loops). Further hydrogen bonds mediate the characteristic L-shaped molecular structure. tRNAs have two regions of fundamental functional importance: the anti-codon, which is responsible for specific mRNA codon recognition, and the 3' end, to which the tRNAs corresponding amino acid is attached (by aminoacyl-tRNA synthetases). tRNAs cope with the degeneracy of the genetic code in two manners: having more than one tRNA (with a specific anti-codon) for a particular amino acid; and 'wobble' base-pairing, i.e. permitting non-standard base-pairing at the 3rd anti-codon position. The record is from RNAcentral. RNAcentral also lists the same sequence under 1 other name.
GCCACCUUAGCUCAGUUGGUAGAGCACAGCUUUCGUAAAGCUGGGGUCCCCGGUUCAAGCCCGGGAGGUGGCU